AGGAAAAAGAAAAUCAUGAGACGGUGGAAUAAAAGGAUAUCUAGAUUGAGUAAUGGGUGGGGCAUAUUCUGUGCCACAAUACUCAAUGUUUCGGCUUGUUGGAAAGAUUCAUUCUGUUGAUGCUGUAUAAGUUUUGCAGUCCAUUUAUUUUCCCCAACAGAAGUCGUCUGGAGCAACUAGUAAGUAUCUUUCCAAUUCACCUUCUACAAAUUUAUUGAGAUACUUGUUUAUCCUUGAAAAUAUAUGGUGCUGUUUUAUGUGCCUUCAACAUAGGCACAAGUGGUAUUUUGCUAUAAAGUCAUAGCGAUACAAUUCUCUCCUGUCAUGUAGCUUUGAAAUGAUUCCAAACAUGUACUCUGCUAUGUGAGCGAUAUAUGUUUUGCUGUGAUAAGAACUUGAAGUGUAUU
RNAcentral lists this long non-coding RNA (407 nucleotides) under Homo sapiens (human). Its description in RNAcentral is "HSALNT0271011". The record is from RNAcentral. Lineage: Eukaryota; Metazoa; Chordata; Mammalia; Primates; Hominidae.